This is a long non-coding RNA of Cygnus olor (mute swan), 1649 nucleotides long. RefSeq lists it as uncharacterized. The record is from RefSeq and is a predicted model, not a curated record. The transcript has 3 exons. Lineage: Eukaryota; Metazoa; Chordata; Aves; Anseriformes; Anatidae.
UCUUUAGAUGCAAAUUAAUUCUCAUCCCACCCUGCUGCCACCCUCCUGGGGAUGCUUUUAAAUAGAGGUGCUGGGGAGCUGCAUGUUGUUGUGUGGUGGUGGCUGGUCCAGGCUGGGCUCUGCUCUGAGAGUGUGGGGUCUGUGGGAAGCCCUACGGCUGAACUAGAGAGUCUUGGAAAUCCAUACUGAGCAUCUGGGCAUGGGAUCUGUUUCUGUUGUGCUUAUUCCUCAAGUCGUAGCCUACGUGCCCUCCCCCUUGGGGCAGGUCUUCUCCAGGGGCUGGAGGAGGCGCUGCUGGGCCUCUGGGGUGCAGCAACCCGGUGCUGAGAGCAUCAGGAGUGCCUUGCGGAGCGCGCAGCUCUGUGGCUGGAAGCUAGAAUGUGGAUGAAAACCUCAGCUCAUCCCUGUGGGUGACCAUGAGGCAAAACCUCUGAUUGCCUCUGCUGAGGGGAAACCUCUCUGUGCAAAGCACCGGUGACUUGUUGCUGCUCAGAAAAGUUACAGGUUUUUCUGAAUGAACGCUAGCAGCUUCCUUCUGCUGAGACAGCCUAGCUUGUUUAGUCUGGCCCUUCCACGGAGUCUGGCACGUGAGCUUGGAAAGCAGCUGCAGGAGCUGCUCAGUGCUGCAGGAGCAGCCGUCUGGCACUCAGGCUGGCUUCUGCAUUGCCCAGCCCUGGGAAGGAUUUCCUGGGUUGUGGUGGGGAAGCUGGAGCCAUCUGUGGGGAUGAGAGCCCCAGCUUCCCUGAGGUCAGCGUCUCAGGAAGGAGAGCGCACAGGGGGCAGCGAGUGCUCUGUUCCUGCCUGCUCCUAGUGCUUGUGGGAAUCAGCAAGGAGUGGCCAAAUGCCUGGGCAUACACCUAAAGAGACGUCUGUUCGUUCUGAGGAUGCAGAACUCAGCACCAGCCCUGAGGCCCUGUCUUGUGCUCCUGAUGGAGCUGUAACCAGAGCUCUCCAGAGAUGUUCCCAAUGCCCAGGAGAGCUGAGGUCUCUGCACCACACAGGUGGUUGCAAAUGUCCCUCAGCAAUUUCCAUUGCAAAUCAUCCAUGUCUUGAAGCAUUGCAUAUGCCAGAAACUGAUUCUGUUCUGGAGGCCACCAUGCUGUGUGCCGGGGUUGUGCUGGCUGCUCAGCACAGGGAGAGGAGACAAACCUGACGCUUCCCCAUGUGGGAUGUCCUCGCCCCUGGCUGUGGGAUGGUGGCCCCAGUGGCCCUGUUGUGGCCACAGAGCAGGGCGAGAGAAGCUUCAGUUCUGUCGGUGCUGGAGCCUGAGGAAAAUCCCAAGGCUGCAGCCAGCAGCCCCAAGGACAGACCCUGGGCUCCAUGGCUGGGGCAGCUUCUGCAGGAUGUCUGCUUGUUGUGCUCAUUGUGACGGGCAAUUUUCCCCCCAGUGAGGCCGGUGGCUGUGAUAUCAGGCUGGGCAGCAUUUUUCCUCCAGUACAGGUCCCCACCUGCUUCCCUGCAGCUCUGGGUUUCUGGCCUCCCUCCCCUGGCAUCCUGCAUCAGCUCAGAGCAGCUGGUACUUCCUUGCCAAAGGGAACAGCACCUUAAAUAAAAUCCAGGUGGCUGCCUCUAUUUGUUUUACUCAGGGCUGACACUGGGUAGCACCCUAUCAGCCCCUCUGUGCUGGCUCUGUUACCUGAAGAAAAUCU